RNAcentral lists this ribosomal RNA (2837 nucleotides) under Blattella germanica (German cockroach). RNAcentral's name for it is "bacterial LSU rRNA". It matches the Rfam family "Bacterial large subunit ribosomal RNA". Lineage: Eukaryota; Metazoa; Arthropoda; Insecta; Blattodea; Blattellidae. The record is from RNAcentral.
AGGGCAGACGGUGGAUGCCUUGGCUCUCGGAGGCGAUGAAGGACGUGAUAAGCUGCGAAAAGCUUGGGUGAGGUGCAAAUAACUUUUGACCCCAAGAUAUCCGAAUGGGGCAACCCGGUAUGGUGAAGCCAUAUCACACUGUAACCAGUGAGCAAACGUGGGGAACUGAAACAUCUAAGUACCCAUAGGAAGAGAAAAUAAAAAUGAUUGCGUAAGUAGUGGCGAGCGAACGCGCAAGAGCCCAAACCGUUAAUGUUUCGGCAUUAGCGGGGUUGUAGGACCACGAUGUAGCAAGAGGUAAUUGAAAUAGAACGUUUUGGAAAGAACGGCCAAAGAAGGUGAUAGCCCUGUAGAUGAAUCGAUUAUGAAGCUUAGUGGUAUCCUGAGUAAGGCGGGACACGUGAAAUCCUGUCUGAAUCCGCGGGGACCAUCCCGUAAGGCUAAAUACUCCCGAGAGACCGAUAGCGAACCAGUACCGUGAGGGAAAGGUGAAAAGAACCUCGAACAGAGGAGUGAAAUAGACCCUGAAACCGUCUGCUUACAAGCGGUCGGAGCACUUACGAGUGUGACGGCGUGCCUUUUGCAUAAUGAACCUACGAGUUACUUUUGUUGGCGAGGUUAAGUGGCUCAGUCAUGCAGCCGAAGCGAAAGCGAGUCUUAAUAGGGCGCAUAGUCAGCAGGAGUAGACGCGAAACCAAGUGAUCUACCCAUGGUCAGGUUGAAGGUUAGGUAACACUAACUGGAGGACCGAAUGGAUAUACGUUGAAAAGUGUUCCAAUGAAUUGUGGGUAGGGGUGAAAGGCUAAUCAAACUUGGAGAUAGCUCGUACUCCCCGAAAUGCAUUUAGGUGCAGCCUUUGAAGUUACUAAUAUGAGGUAGAGCGACUGAUUGGAUGCGAGGGCUUCGCCGCCUAUCAAGUCCAGAUAAACUCCGAAUGCGUAUUAGUAUAAUUCAAGGAGUGAGGGCAUGGGUGCUAAGGUCCAUGUCCGAGAGGAGAAGAAUCCAGACCAUCAGCUAAGGUCCCCAAAUAAUUGCUAAGUUGCAUUAACGAAGUCUGGUCGCUAAGACAGCUAGGAUGUUGGCUUGGAAGCAGCCAUUCAUUUAAAGAGUGCGUAACAGCUCACUAGUCGAGUGACCGGGCGUGGAUAAUAAUCUGUCUCUUAUACACAUCUAGAUGUGUAUAAGAGACAGGGUGUGGGAUAACCCAUGCUGGAGCGUCAAGAAAAGCAAAUGUAGGUAUAAGUAACGAUAAAGGGGGUGAGAAACCCCCUCGCCGAAAGACUAAGGUUUCCUGAUCAACGCUAAUCGGAUCAGGGUUAGUCGGGGCCUAAGGCUAAGCCGAAGGGCGAUGCCGAUGGAAGAACCGGUUAAUAUUCCGGUACUACUUUAUAGAGUGAUGUGGGGACGGAGAAGUGACAGCUCUGCCAUCUGACGGAAUAGAUGGUUGAAGGGUGUAGACGUUGAUUUUGGUAGGCAAAUCCGCCGAAAGAGUCGAACCUGACAGUAUGCAGCGUACUUGUACAAUGUAAUAUGAGUGUAAACAGGCUCCCUAGAAAAUCCGCUAAACUUAUCUAUAAAGUACCCGUACUGUAAACGGACACACGUAGUUGGGUUGAGAAUACUAAGGCGCUCGAGUGAUUCACGGUUAAGGAACUAGGCAAAAUAGUCCUGUAACUUCGGGAUAAAGGACGCCAGCAGUGAAAUGCUGGCCGCAGAGAAUAGGCCCAGGCGACUGUUUAACAAAAACACAUGGCUAUGCGAAAUAGAAAUAUGAAGUAUAUAGCCUGACACCUGCCCGGUGCUGGAAGGUUAAGAGGAGAGGUCAUCAUUUCGGUGAGAAGCUUUGAAUUGAAGCCCCAGUAAACGGCGGCCGUAACUAUAACGGUCCUAAGGUAGCGAAAUUCCUUGUCGGGUAAGUUCCGACCUGCACGAAUGGUGUAACGAUCUGGGCACUGUCUCAACUGUGAGCUCGGUGAAAUUGUAGUAUCGGUGAAGAUGCCGAUUACCCGCGAUGGGACGAAAAGACCCCGUGAACCUUUACUAUAGCUUUACAUUGCGUUUGGGCAAUUGAUGUGUAGGAUAGGCCGGAGACUGUGAAGCAGGUACGCCAGUAUUUGUGGAGUCAUUGUUGAAAUACGGCCCUUUGAUUGUUUGAAUUCUAACUCGUGGAUUGCGAGGACAGUGUAUGGUGGGUAGUUUGACUGGGGUGGUCGCCUCCAAAAGUGUAACGGAGGCUUCUAAAGGUACCCUCAGGCCGAUUGGUAACCGGUCGUAGAGUGUAAUGGCAUAAGGGUGCUUGACUGGGAGACUAACAAGUCGAUCAGGUAGGAAACUAGAGCAUAGUGAUCCGGUGGUUCCGUAUGGAAGGGCCAUCGCUCAAAGGAUAAAAGGUACUCCGGGGAUAACAGGCUGAUCGCCGCCAAGAGCUCAUAUCGACGCGGCGGUUUGGCACCUCGAUGUCGGCUCGUCACAUCCUGGGGCUGGAGAAGGUCCCAAGGGUUGGGCUGUUCGCCCAUUAAAGUGGCACGCGAGCUGGGUUCAGAACGUCGUGAGACAGUUCGGUCUCUAUCUAUCGUGGGCGUAGGAUAUUUGCGAGGCUCUGACACUAGUACGAGAGGACCGUGUUGGACAGACCGCUGGUUUACCGGUUGUUUCGCCAGGAGCACAGCCGGGUAGCUAAGUUUGGAUAGGAUAAGUGCUGAAAGCAUCUAAGUACGAAGCCUGCCUCAAGAUUAGAUAUCCUUAAAGGGUCGUUGUAGACUACGACGUUGAUAGGCUACAGGUGGAAGGGUGGUAACAUCCGGAGCCGAGUAGUACUAAUUGCCCGAAACUUUUUC